UAAUUUGAUUCAUUGUGUUGAAUGGUC
RNAcentral lists this small RNA (27 nucleotides) under Bombyx mori (domestic silkworm). Its description in RNAcentral is "ovarian small RNA-19964". Lineage: Eukaryota; Metazoa; Arthropoda; Insecta; Lepidoptera; Bombycidae. The record is from RNAcentral.